Long non-coding RNA from Antechinus flavipes (yellow-footed antechinus), 1086 nucleotides. RefSeq lists it as uncharacterized. The transcript is spliced from 4 exons. Lineage: Eukaryota; Metazoa; Chordata; Mammalia; Dasyuromorphia; Dasyuridae. The record is from RefSeq and is a predicted model, not a curated record.
UCCAUUUCCUUUUCAGUCAUUCUGUAUCUCCUGGGUGCCCUGCUGGGAAACCCUGACACUCACCAGUGAGUUCCUGGUCUCCACCCUCUUGUCCCAGUUCCCAAAUCACCAUAGACUUUCUUCCCACCCCUUUGAUUUCUGAUAUAUAAGCCUCUAACAGGUUCUAUUUGUUCACUUCCCCCUGGGUUGAGCUGUUAUUUAAAUCUGGGAUCCAGAGUCAAAGGUACAGAGUCAGGAUACAGCGUCUCUUCCAGCCAGGCUCUUUGCCCUCUUUGCCCCCGAGGUUCUUGCAAUCUGUUGGCGAAGGGAACUGUGGGACAGGACUUCAGGACAAAAAUGAGAAGAUAAAGUUCUGGUGCCAUCUCCAGUAUGGAUGAAAAAACCUCAGAAUUUGAGAUGGAAUUGGAACGAAUGCUUACCAGGUCAGAAUCAGAGCCAACAUUCUCCAAUUUAAAAACCACCUGCAAGAACAAGAAGAAAAAGCAACAAUUAUUACCUGAGCAUCUAUACUGUGAGACUCUGGGGAAGAUCCUGCAUCAUGUGAAGACACCUGUGACCGUGGGUCUCUAUGGGCCAUGUAGACAUCGUUUGAGCUGUUUCAUGGAGAGGAUUAAAAGUAGGUAUAUCUUAUUUCUAAGUCCGAUUUUUCUUGUGCAGCAAAAUAACUGUAUGGACAUGUAUACAUAUAUUGUGUUUAAUAUAUACUUUAACAUAUUUAACAUGUAUUGAUCUACCUGCCAUCUAGGGGAAGGAAGGAAAAAAUUGGAACAAAAGGAUUUGCAAUUGUCAAUGGUGAAAAAUUACCCAUGAAUAUAUCUUGUAAAUAAAAAGCUAUAAUAAAAAAAAUUGUUUAAAGUCACCCAGCUGGUAAUAGUCAGAACUGGAGAACCAACCGGUUGUUCAGUUAUUUUCUUUAAUCUUUCUGUUCCCUCAUCUAUAAAACAGUAGCAACGGUACUUGGUACCUAAUGUUUAGAGAUAUUGUAAGAGUAAUGAUUAGGGUUAUUUAUAUCAAUGCUUGACAUAUACGUUCCCUUCCAAUUCUUUUAUUUUUAAAAGUCAAUUGAAUAAGAAUUCAACUUUUCUC